UCUCUGCAUCUGAUUCAAGAUUCUGAAAGUCUUGGCAUCUACCCUGGUGCUACUUGAUGAAUUGUAAGACAUGAAAGAAACUGUAUUUUGCCCAUUCCACUUUUUACCUUAGUUGUGGCAUGCCACAUUAUCUGUCACAGAGGGGAAAAACACAUGUGAAUGAAUGUAAUCCAUUUAUUGGUUUAUGGUCACAAAGUCCUCAAGGGAGUGUUCUAAUUCCAGAACGCUGGAUUUUCUAUUUCGGUGAGUUAGCAGAAAGACGUCGCUUCCUAUUCACUGUAUGUCCAGCACUAUCUGGUGAACUCAUCAAAGGUGAAGAGCAACCACAGAAGCAAGGAAGAUAAAAGCAAGGUGCAGCUCAAGACAUCACAUCUGCAUGUUAUGAAGAAUUGCAUGAAAUCUUGACCUUGCUUUCAGUACUUUUGUGCUGAAUUCAAGCAGUGUAAGUCA
Molecule: non-coding RNA, 450 nt
Organism: Coturnix japonica (Japanese quail)
Lineage: Eukaryota; Metazoa; Chordata; Aves; Galliformes; Phasianidae
Source: RefSeq, a predicted model, not a curated record